Molecule: ribosomal RNA, 393 nt
Filed under: uncultured bacterium
Lineage: Bacteria
Description: bacterial SSU rRNA
Rfam family: Bacterial small subunit ribosomal RNA
Source: RNAcentral
UGGCGGACGGGUGAGUAAUACUUAUCUUACCUGCCAUUUAGUGGGGGAUAAAAUUCCGCAUAUUAUGAGUAAUCAUGAAAGGGCUUUCGGGCUCGCUAAUUGAUGGGGAUAAGUCGUAUUAGUUAGUUGGUGGGGUAAUGGCCUACCAAGACAAUGAUGCGUAGCCAGUCUGAGAGGAUGAAUGGCCACAAAGGAACUGAGACACGGUCCUUACUCCUAUUGAGGAGGCAGCAGUGGGGAAUAUUCUGCAAUGGGGGAAACCCUGACAGAGCAAUACUACGUGAAGGAGGAAGGUCUACGGAUUGUAAACUUCUUUACUUAAAUGUACUAGCCGUAAGGUUUUGCAUUUGAGCAAAAAGCGACGACUAACUAUGUGCCAGCAGCCGCGGUAAU